This 30-nucleotide non-coding RNA is filed under the name Mus musculus (house mouse). Lineage: Eukaryota; Metazoa; Chordata; Mammalia; Rodentia; Muridae. The record is from RNAcentral.
GCAAAGCUGAACAAACUCUAAGAGAGUCUA